CGCUUCGUGGAACUUACAUUCCAAGCAGAAGCCCGGUUAGCAACAGCCACACAAAUAACCGUAAUUACAAGUCAGAAUGAACGCAAAGGAGGGAAGCUAGUGACUUAAAUAUUUAAUGCGUUGAAUAAAAACGAGAGUUAAAUAUUUUGUAAUAAAUGUAACAGGCUUUUUAAUCACACAGAUUUCACCCGAGCAGCAGUGGCGCCGGUUUCUGCCCAAGACGCAAGAGCAGACAUGGAAGAUGAGGGUCGAUCUGGUUGCGUGGGGCUUGAGGGGGGCAGACCUCCUUGGAAUUCUGCCCCCUCUCUAGCCUGAGUUAAAUCGAAAAAUUAUGGCUUUAGAUAUUCUGAGGAAGAGUUGGCUGCGAGAGGAGGCGAAGCUCAGAUAAUCUGCCAGCAUUGGAAGGAGGACCCACAGGGUGAACAAAGCAGUAGCUGGACCAGAAGAAGUAAUGCUGAUAAGUCCCUACAGCGAUUUGCAAGAAUCUUGGCUACUUCACUCAUCCCAAGAAGGUCUCAAGGGGUCGUGAUAUCAGCUAAUACCUACAAGGUCCUGGCUACAACUUAAGUGAGAUCCUACUUAGUUGUUCAAGACACUGUACUAAAUGCUUUAUAUACGUUAUGUAUCUCCCAUAAUUGUUCUAAUACUAUUAUCAUAUCUCCACUUCACAGAUGAAGAAUUAAGGACAAGACAGUGACUUGCUCAAUGAGCUCCACUCCCAGCCCAGCUUUGUACAGUUGUGAAUAAAAUGAGAUCAAAUAG
This 762-nucleotide long non-coding RNA is filed under the name Mus spicilegus (steppe mouse). Its description in RNAcentral is "lncRNA (ENSMSIG00000002810.1)". Lineage: Eukaryota; Metazoa; Chordata; Mammalia; Rodentia; Muridae. The record is from RNAcentral.